RNAcentral lists this long non-coding RNA (220 nucleotides) under Mytilus galloprovincialis (Mediterranean mussel). Lineage: Eukaryota; Metazoa; Mollusca; Bivalvia; Mytilida; Mytilidae. The record is from RNAcentral.
GUAGUAGGCGAGGGGAUAAUAAACUAAGUUUUAUAAGAAUUAGACAAAAAGAUCGAUUUCCCGCCAUGCAUGGCAGACUUGUACAGAAACGAUAUGUUGUCGAAAUUCUGUUCGUAUCAUAAAAAAGUUCAAAACAGGUAGAACGCAUUUUUAGAUCGUUUGUAUACUUGUAUUAUGUACAUACAUGUAUUUUACCUUCAUUUAUCUUGUUUGUUUUCGC